Molecule: unclassified non-coding RNA, 1125 nt
Filed under: Hevea brasiliensis (rubber tree)
Lineage: Eukaryota; Viridiplantae; Streptophyta; Magnoliopsida; Malpighiales; Euphorbiaceae
Source: RNAcentral
CUUGAUUUUGGCUCUUCUACCUAAAAUAGAGAACCAAGUCGAGAUGCUGUCGUUUCUAGGAACCAACAAAAUCAAACAGAAUCCAGAUUUCCAUUUCUUCUCAUAUCAGCCAACUGAGCUCGCUUUCUACCCUCUCUCUCGCCGGUGCCAUGGAGGAUCUUCCUUUACAGAAGGUGGCAAUAUCAGGUCCCACGUUAACCUCCAUGAUACAGCGCUUCUCCUCCUCUCUCGGUGACGUAGACGGCAUCCUAUUCGGCCACGUCACCCACAUGCCCUCCACUCUCUCCGACGACUCACCGCAAGCCCGCUCUGACUCCGAUCCCUCUCAACUCGUGGCCAACGUCACUUCCUUCCUUUGCCCCAGCUCACCUCUCUCCUUUUACGAUUCAUUUGGCCGAGUCGACUCUUCUUCUCUCCAUCGAUUCCUGCCCUCUCAAACUCACCACCAGUUCAUUGGCUGGUUCUCCGCCCGCCGCAAAACCCCUAUUCGCCCUUCAAUGCGCGAAUUUUCCGUCUCGCGUUCUCUCUCCACCAACUCUCAGUUCUCUUUCCCCAUCAAAAACUCCGAAAAUCCAAUUAAGCUUGCUCCUUGCAUUUUUCUCUUAUUCGCUACUCCUUUACAAGACCAAUUAAUUCAUACGCACGAGUACCGCGCUUACCAGUUCCGUGUAUCGACGCAGUCGUUUGAUCCCAAGUCGAUUGAUAUUGUGAAUAUAGGGCCGGCGUUCCGGGGGCAUUAUGGAUCGUUUAGCCCUAAUUCGCCCUUCCCGAUGUUGAAUUGUGAGUUAAGUUGCUUAUCGGCUAUGAAUGAGGAUAAACAUGAAGAGAAUUUGAGUGAAAAUAAGCAGGUUUCCAAGGACCAGAGGGAGCUGGAUAUGUGCGCAGAGGAUUUUCCGGUUUCGAAUUUGGGCCAGUUAAUGGGAUCGGAGGCUUCGAAUUAUACUGCAGGUUUGGAAUAUUUGUAUGAGAAGAUGUUGGCCAAAAUUGACAGCUUGGCCAGACAGGUGGAGAAGAGCAAUGCUAAGGUUCUUGAGCAGGAAACUCAUAAUAGGAAGUUAAGGCACAAAGUUGCCCGGACUGGACCAGAGUAACUGUUUCAUUCUUGCUUGUAUUUUUUAGGUUGCG